Molecule: ribosomal RNA, 3080 nt
Organism: Corynebacterium frankenforstense DSM 45800
Lineage: Bacteria; Bacillati; Actinomycetota; Actinomycetes; Mycobacteriales; Corynebacteriaceae
Rfam family: Bacterial large subunit ribosomal RNA
Source: Rfam
UCGUGUUUGUCUAGUGGCGCACGGUGGAUGCCUUGGCAUGCUGGGCCGAUGAAGGACGUGUGAGGCUGCGUUAAGCCUCGGGGAGUUGUCAACUAAGCGUUGAUCCGAGGAUGUCCGAAUGGGGAAACCCGGCCGUCGUUGUUGGCGGUCACCUGCCGGUGAAUGUAUAGCCGGUUGGGAGGUAAGGCGGGGAAGUGAAACAUCUCAGUACCCGUUGGAGAAGAAAACAAUUGUGAUUCCGUGAGUAGUGGCGAACGAAAGUGGAUUUUUGGCUAAACCUGUCCGCGUGUGACACCGUUUCCGGGGUUGCGUGGCAGGGGUUGUGGGCUUUGAACGUGUCGGUGCGGUAACCGCCGGCGGAUGGAUGUGUGUGGUAAGCGGAACCGGCUUGGAAUGGUCGACCGGAGUAGGUGAGAGUCCUGUACGUGAAUGCCGCAUGUGUUGUCUUGUUCUUGUUUGCCCGAGUAGCAGCGGGCUCGUGGAAUCUGCUGUGAAUCUGCCGGGACCACCCGGUAAGCCUGAAUACCCAGUGUGACCGAUAGUGGAUAGUACCGUGAGGGAAUGGUGAAAAGUACCCCGGGAGGGGAGUGAAAUAGUUCCUGAAACCGUGCGCUGUCAAGCCGUCAGAGCCCUUUAGGGGGUGAUGGCGUGCCUUUUGAAGAAUGAGCCUGCGAGUCAGCGGCACGUCGCGAGGUUAACCCGUUGUGGGGUAGUCGUAGCGAAAGCGAGUUUUUAUGGGCGUUUAGUGGCGUGUCCUGGACCCGAAGCGGGGUGAUCUACCCAUGGCCAGUGUGAAGCGACGGUAAGACGUCGUGGAGGCGCGCACCCACUUAGGUUGAAAACUGAGGGGAUGAGCUGUGGGUAGGGGUGAAAGGCCAAUCAAACUCCGUGAUAGCUGGUUCUCCCCGAAAUGCAUUUAGGUGCAGCGUCGAAGUGAGCGUGCCGGAGGUAGAGCUACUGGUUGGUUGAGCGGGAUUAUCGUCUUAGCAACAUCAGCCAAACUCCGAAUGCCGGUGUACGUGUUCUUCGGCAGUGAGACCGUGGGGGAUAAGCUCCAUUGGUCGAGAGGGAAACAGCCCAGAUCGCCGGUUAAGGCCCCUAAGGGUGUGCUCAGUGGAAAAGGAUGUGGGAUCGCGAAGACAGCCAGGAGGUUGGCUUAGAAGCAGCCAUCCUUGAAAGAGUGCGUAAUAGCUCACUGGUCGAGUGGUCCUGCGCCGACAAUUCAGUGGGGCUCAAGUACACCGCCGAAACCGCGGCAGACUUUUUUGUCUGGGUAGGGGAGCGUCGUGCACGCGUGGAAGCGUCGGGGUGACCUUGGCGUGGAGUGUGUGCGAGUGAGAAUGCAGGCAUGAGUAACGAAUCUGGCAGGUGAGAAUCCUGCCCGCCGGAUGACCAAGGGUUCCUGGGUCAAGUUCGUCUUCCCAGGGUGAGUCGGGACCUAAGGCGAGGCCGACAGGCGUAGUCGAUGGUAAACGGGUUGAUAUUCCCGUACCCGAGUGUGCGCGCCCAGUGGUGAGCCGGGGAUACUAACCAUCCGGUCGGUGCCUUUUUGUCCACUUCGCCUUCGGGUGUUGUGGCGUGGUACCGGUCGCGUGGGGCCUGAUCCGUAGUAGCCAAGUGAUGGGGUGACGCAGGAGGGCAGCCACGCCGUGUUGUUGGAUUGCGCGGUGUAAGCGGUGAGAGGCUCCGGUGAGGUAAAUCCCGCCGGAGGAUAACCUUGGGCCGUGAAGCGUAGACACAUAAAGUGUUGAUGGUGGUGUGCUCAUGCUGCCGAGAAAAGCCUCUAGCGAGUGCACAUUCGGCCCGUACCCUAAACCGACACUGGUGGUCAGGUAGAGGAUACUAAGGCGUUCGGGUGAACUGUAGUUAAGGAAUUCGGCAAAUUGCCCCCGUAACUUCGGGAGAAGGGGGGCCACACCUUGGUUGGUGUGGCCGCAGUGACAAGAGGGAAGCGACUGUUUACUAAAAACACAGGUCCGUGCGAAGACUUUUAAGUUGAUGUAUACGGACUGACGCCUGCCCGGUGCUGGAAGGUUAAGAGGACCUGUUAGGCCAUUUUUUGGUCGAAGCGGAGAAUUUAAGCCCCAGUAAACGGCGGUGGUAACUAUAACCAUCCUAAGGUAGCGAAAUUCCUUGUCGGGUAAGUUCCGACCUGCACGAAUGGCGUAACGACUUCCCUGCUGUCUCAACUACAGGCCCGGUGAAAUUGCACUACGAGUAAAGAUGCUCGUUACGCGCGGCAGGACGAAAAGACCCCGGGACCUUCACUAUAGCUUGGCAUUGGUGUCCGGUCCGGUUUGUGUAGAAUAGGUGGGAGAUUGUGAUCCGGCAUCGCCAGGUGUCGGGGAGUCGUAAUGUGAAAUACCACUCUGACCGGGUUGGCCACCUUGAACCUUGGCCCAUGAUCUGGGUCGGGGACAGUGCCUGGUGGGUAGUUUAACUGGGGCGGUUGCCUCCUAAAUGGUAACGGAGGCGCCCAAAGGUUCCCUCAGCCUGGUCGGUAACCAGGUUUUAGAGUGUAAGUGCACAAGGGAGCUUGACUGCGAGAGGGACUUCUCGAGCAGGGACGAAAGUCGGGACUAGUGAUCCGGCACCUACUUGUGGAUGUGGUGUCGCUCAACGGAUAAAAGGUACCCCGGGGAUAACAGGCUGAUCUUCCCCAAGAGUCCAUAUCGACGGGAUGGUUUGGCACCUCGAUGUCGGCUCGUCGCAUCCUGGGGCUGGAGCAGGUCCCAAGGGUUGGGCUGUUCGCCCAUUAAAGCGGCACGCGAGCUGGGUUUAGAACGUCGUGAGACAGUUCGGUCUCUAUCCGCCGCGCGCGUGGAAACUUGAUGGAAGGCUGUCCCUAGUACGAGAGGACCGGGACGGACGUACCUCUGGUGUGCCAGUUGUCCCGCCCGGGGCAUGGCUGGUUGGCUACGUACGGGAAGGAUAACCGCUGAAAGCAUCUAAGCGGGAAGCCUGUUCCAAGAUGAGGUUUCAUUUGAGGUUCCCUGUAGAUGACGGGGUUGAUAGGCCGGAUCUGGAAGCAUCGUAAGGUGUGGAGGUGACCGGUACUAAUCCGCCGAACAAACACAAAC